UAGCUAACGCGUGAANUCGACCGCCUGGGGAGUACGNUCGCAAGAUUAAAACUCAAAGGAAUUGACGGGGACCCGCACAAGCGGUGGAUGAUGUGGAUUAAUUCGAUGCAACGCGAAGAACCUUACCUGGUCUUGACAUGUACGGAAGAACUCAGAGACGAGUUUGUGCCUUCGGGAACCGUAACACAGGUGCUGCAUGGCUGUCGUCAGCUCGUGUCGUGAGAUGUUGGGUUAAGUCCCGCAACGAGCGCAACCCUUGUCAUUAGUUGCCAUCAUUUAGUUGGGCACUCUAAUGAGACUGCCGGUGACAAACCGGAGGAAGGUGGGGAUGACGUCAAGUCCUCAUGGCCCUUAUGACCAGGGCUUCACGUGUCAUACAAUGGUCGGUACAGAGGGUAGCCAAGCCGCGAGGUGGAGCCAAUCCCAGAAAACCGAUCGUAGUCCGGAUUGCACUCUGCAACUCGAGUGCAUGAAGUCGGAAUCGCUAGUAAUCGCAGGUCAGCAUACUGCGGUGAAUACGUUCCCGGGUCUUGUACACACCGCCCGUCACACCAU
Molecule: ribosomal RNA, 555 nt
Filed under: uncultured bacterium
Lineage: Bacteria
Description: bacterial SSU rRNA
Rfam family: Bacterial small subunit ribosomal RNA
Source: RNAcentral